RNAcentral lists this ribosomal RNA (433 nucleotides) under uncultured bacterium. RNAcentral's name for it is "partial 16S ribosomal RNA". It matches the Rfam family "Bacterial small subunit ribosomal RNA", at positions 29 to 507 of the family's 1533-position model. The record is from RNAcentral.
AACGAACGCUGGCGGCAUGCCUAACACAUGCAAGUCGAACGAGGCCUUCGGGUCUAGUGGCGCACGGGUGCGUAACGCGUGGGAACCUGCCCUUAGGUUCGGAAUAACUCCCCGAAAGGGGUGCUAAUACCGGAUAAUGUCUUCGGACCAAAGAUUUAUCGCCUUUGGAUGGGCCCGCGUUGGAUUAGCUAGUUGGUAGGGUAAAAGCCUACCAAGGCGACGAUCCAUAGCUGGUCUGAGAGGAUGAUCAGCCACACUGGGACUGAGACACGGCCCAGACUCCUACGGGAGGCAGCAGUGGGGAAUAUUGGACAAUGGGCGAAAGCCUGAUCCAGCAAUGCCGCGUGAGUGAUGAAGGCCUUAGGGUUGUAAAGCUCUUUUACCCGGGAUGAUAAUGACAGUACCGGGAGAAUAAGCUCCGGCCAACUCCGUG